AUAUCCAACUACUGACCUGACUAUUCUGUUUGCUUGUUAAUUAGUGAGUGAUUUGGGGUUUAUACAGACACAACCUUACCUGUUGACCACACUAUACUCGAGAUGUGAUUAACACUUAGAGGAAUGAAUUUGAUUUAAAGAACCCUUAUAGUAUUUACUAACUGUGACUCUAGUUGUGGAUUACAGUUAUUUGUAUACUAUUGAAUAAAGAAUAUUCCUUCAUGAUAUGCAAAAGCUGUCCUCUUUGAUAACAUGGCUUUGGAAGGUAUGCACAUAGAACAGCGCUCACCAGUGUGACACAUGUGGAAGACAUCUACCUUCCCAUAAUUUGACCAGUGCUUUCUAAUGAACCAGAAUAUGGCACUAAAACAAUAAUAGCAAUAAGUCCCAUAUACAUCAAUCUGAUUAUUUGUAAGAAUAGAAACUUUCUACAAAUACUGAAGACUUAACCGGAUAUGACGUCAAACCCUAUGACUUGCACGGGUUUGUAAGACAUUUGAUCUGCAGGUGAAUAUUAGUAGUGUACAUUUAUAAUGAGGUUUUUAACUUUUACAAUCAUUUUCACCACCUAUUAUUUUCCUUUUCAGUUGGCUACACAUAACAGAUUAGAAUUUAUGCCAAUUAGCCAUGGUCCAUAUGGAUGGCUUGAUGUGCCAUGUUUGUGAGCAUGUAGGGAUCAUGAAUGAUAUGCCUCCUGUGUCACUCACUGCAAGAUAUUUAAUGCUAAAUAUCAUUUGCCUUUAUGGUUUGUUCUUGGUUAGGAGAUAGCUGAUUUAUGUAUGCUUUCCUAAUUCAAUGUAGCAGAGAGGAGGCUAUUGCCAAGAGACAGACUUAGCAUGAAAACAUGUGUAGAGGAAGCAAAGAUCUAUAUGAUUUGAGCUUUUUUCCCAUUAGGAUUGAAAGCACAAGUGAUUCUUGGCCUGAAGGUGAGUCACAGAUGGACAGGGCUCAGAUGGCACAUGAAGACACUGAAGUGGGUAAGAUUCCCUGGUGAGAAUUGACAGUGCAUUUUGGCAAGAGAUGAAUUUGUCCCCUAUAUAGUGGGGUCAUUACACACAACCUUCGCCCAUUCCUCCAUCUGGUUUUUAUGUCAAAUAACAUUAAUUCAGUUUUUAGUGGUCUGAUUCUCAACCAGUUCAAAUACAACAAGUAUCCCAGACAUAUACUGAAGUGUGCAUGUAUACGGUUCCAUUUGUUUAUAAUUGGUUGAGAAUGGGUAAGGGGUAAUGCUCACAUCUAUGAAAAGAAUGAACAGGUCAUAGAAAAAGUCAAAUUACUAUAGUGACAGUUUUCCAAGUGUAAAAAAUAAACUUCAUUUUUUAGAAGCCCUUUCCAAUAUCCUUGUUAUUAUAUCUUCAACAUUGAGCUCCUGUCAUUGAAAGAACUACCAGCUUCAGUGAAAAAUGCCUAGAUAAGAAGGGGAAAUUAAGAAGUGAUUCAAUGUUUACAAAAAUACUGACGGAUGAAUCACUGUUUAAAAGAAGAAUAAUUCACUUUCCUCAAAGAGAAAAAGCACCCAGAACUUAAUGGUAACCAUACUUUAUGUUCUCUAGAUUGUUUGACAGUUGAUGUACAGCCAUUCUAACCAAGUAAUAAUAUAAAGGUCAUGUUACUAUUAUUGCAUCUAGAUCAUUAAAAAUGGAAGGUGAUUAACUCAAAGUAAUGUCCUUUUUGAAUUGUUUUCAGUCUCUGCUUAACUUUGUGCUUCAUUGCUGGAUCAGUCGAAAAUGAGGCACAAAUCAACUGAGAGAAUCUUUGGACAUAGGUUUCUUCCAAAGAAAUAAGCAGCUACUUUAAAGUUAGUUUUAUAUGCUGAUCAACCUGAAGGUGAAAAUCAGCCCAACAAAUUUUGUAUAUUUUACUAAUCAUUUUGAAACUUUGGAGAGACUAAUAAUUGUAAACUAUUAUUAAGGUUUCAGUUAAUUGACUAUAGAAAGUUGUCUUUUGAUAGUACCUCAGCGACCCCCAAAAAACUGCAGCAGUUGCACUCAGAGACUGAGCGUAUACUGGGAAAAAUGGCUGAUAGAAGGUAUAUUCAUAAUAUACUGUGAACAUACAUGGGCUGUAUGACAGGCAGCAGCAUUUGUUGAGUUCUUACUGUAUGUAAAGCCUUCUGCUAGUUACUGUGCGGAGAUACAUGACAUAGAAAAUGUACUUGCUCUUCUUGACACUUUGAGUCCCAUUAAGUUUCAUAAGAAUAUAUGUGCAUGGGAAAAGGAGACUUUGGAAUUAGUAUCAAGCAAAAUACUAAUGUUAUAAUAGAAAUGGUCUAAAGUAAGAAGGAAAAAAGGAGAGAUGUAAGGAAUGAUCAGGAGUGACUCAGCUUUUACUGAAAAUCUUUGGUAACUGUAUAGGAACUAAACCCUACAUGGAAUAUAGUGCAGGCCCAUUGAUACUUUUGAGCUAAUGGGAAGGAACAGCAGAAAGCUAUGCUGGCAGUGCUUCAAAUGAAAAUGUGCUCACUGAUGACAUGGUCCACCUCAUACCUAAUGUGAACAGAUUGCAGAAGGUCAGAGGAAAAAUAGAAGAAUGAUGGCAAAUAACAGAGGUAGAACUAGCUAGAGACCUUAAUUAAAACAACUUGGCUUUCUAUUUUUUUAAAAAAGUAAGAAGCUGCCUAAAAGAAAGGGGAAAAAAUGUUUCUAUAAUGAAGGUUUCUUUAAAAAAUAACAACUUUACCAAGAAUGUAAUCUAACAUUAGCCUAAUAGCAUAGAAUUUUGUCAUACAACAGUAUAUCCUUAACAGCAGUUUUAUUGAGAAACAUGCUGAUUUUGUGCUAACCAAAUACAAAUAAUCACAAGCAUAAUGUUCUUCUAGAGUUGGUACUGUGUUAAAUAAAUGCACUUGGUCAGUCAUUUUUCCUUGAUAGCAUCAUGCUCCUGAAUGUAGACAAUUGAGAAUGGAUGUAAUUACAAACUAUUCAAAUAGACUAACUCUCCAGAACUAUUUUUAAGCAUUCAUAUUUUAAUCAAUAGUGCAGAAGGGAACUAUGAUAGAAAUAUUUUGUAUUCUGACUAUAUUUGCAUAUUUGUGUCAGUUGCUUGAUUCAAACCAAUUAGACUACAGUUAUCUAUGAAAACCAUAUGGUGCACAAAUAAUGCAUACGAGACCAGUUAAACAUCAAAAGUGUAUCAUUUGCAUAGUUAGAAAGGAACACUGACAGGGAAUAUAUUUAUUAUUCAAGAAGUAUACUACCUAAUAGAAGGUACUAUCUUUAUGUUUUAAAUCUAUAUGUACUGAAGCAACUGAUCACUCUUCAAAUAUUUAACUUGGGGCAAGAGCAUAGAAAAUGGGUAAUAUGAGGAGCAGAAUUUAGACAAUUGUUCAAAUAAGCUUGUGAAAACCGUGCUUUUUGUAGGUAAAUCAAUGACAGGAUGACCUUCUAACAUUCUGUUGGAAUUCCUAAUUUAAAUUUUCCUAGUAGGACUAUUCUUAUCAACACUUAAGGACAUAA
This 3455-nucleotide long non-coding RNA is filed under the name Sus scrofa (pig). RNAcentral describes it as "lncRNA (ENSSSCG00000052293.1)". Lineage: Eukaryota; Metazoa; Chordata; Mammalia; Artiodactyla; Suidae. The record is from RNAcentral.